RNAcentral lists this long non-coding RNA (431 nucleotides) under Cavia porcellus (domestic guinea pig). RNAcentral's name for it is "lncRNA (ENSCPOG00000031387.1)". The record is from RNAcentral. Lineage: Eukaryota; Metazoa; Chordata; Mammalia; Rodentia; Caviidae.
UUCCAGGGUUCAGCUGCAGCAGACGCUCAGAUCCUGUCUCCUAACGGCCUGAAGAUGUCCCCUGAGGACACAGAUGAAGAGCUGAGAAAACCCUUCCCUGCAUGCCUGGGAGCAGUGACUACUAGGAAAUGCGUUUCUCAUGAGCCUGGAGCUUAUGUUCAAUCCUGUGACGAAAGCCACUUCUCUGUGAGUCCUGGAAGAAGGUGGAGAGAGAGAAUCCAGCGGAACUCAGAAGCAAGAAUGCACUGCUCCAGGUCAAGGAACAGAGGAAACGCCAAAGAAGGCACAGACACGGGUGGCUGGUCUCAGCGAUCAAGCUGUGGCAGUUAGAGGCAGGAAACGGAAUCGGAGAGGAGAGAGGCGAAGUUACCCCCGUGGGGCGCCCAGGGUGCUCGGAGUUCUGGGGCCCAGAGCCCCCACCGGCUUUGCAC